CCGAUACUUACCUGUCCCGGGUUUCCCGCUGUGUCCUGGAGGCAGUACACAGAGGGCUUGGGUGGCCGCUACUUCCUCUGUCCCUCCUUGCUUCAAUGUCCAUCAGCCUCUGCUUAGAUGUCGCCACAGUAAGAUGGUGGCCACCUCGUGAACAUGCGCACAGUGUUCAGGGAGGACCUGGUGAAGGAGGCAUUAGCUAAGCAGAGGGGAGAGACUGCAG
Non-coding RNA from Pelobates cultripes (western spadefoot toad), 220 nucleotides. NCBI's taxonomy places the organism in Eukaryota, Metazoa, Chordata, Amphibia, Anura, Pelobatidae. The record is from the annotation of a GenBank genome assembly.